GGUUGACCUCGGAUCAGGUAGGAAUACCCGCUGAACUU
Molecule: ribosomal RNA, 38 nt
Filed under: Nigrospora oryzae
Lineage: Eukaryota; Fungi; Ascomycota; Sordariomycetes; Amphisphaeriales; Apiosporaceae
Also listed under: 3 other names
Description: partial 28S ribosomal RNA
Source: RNAcentral